GAUGAACGCUAGCGGCAGGCCUAAUACAUGCAAGUCGAACGGAUAUAUGUUUUUCGGAAUAUAUAUUAGUGGCGCACGGGUGAGUAACACGUACAUAACUUGCCCUCAAGCGGGGGAUAGCCUUGGGAAACUGAGAGUAAUACCCCAUAGAAUUAUUGGACGGCAUCGUUUGAUAAUUAAAACUACGGUGUUUGGGGAUAGAUGUGCGUCUGAUUAGCUAGUUGGUGAGGUAACUGCUCACCAAGGCGACGAUCAGUAGGGGGCGUGAGAGCGUGGCCCCCACACGGGUACUGAGACACGGACCCGACUCCUACGGGAGGCAGCAGUAAGGAAUACUGGUCAAUGGAGGGAACUCUGAACCAGCCAUGCCGCGUGAAGGAUGACGGCCCUCUGGGUUGUAAACUUCUUUUGGAUGGGGCGAAAAAACGGGAUUUAUCCUGGACUGACGGUACCAUCAGAAUAAGCACCGGCUAACUCCGUGCCAGCAGCCGCGGUAAU
RNAcentral lists this ribosomal RNA (498 nucleotides) under uncultured bacterium. RNAcentral's name for it is "bacterial SSU rRNA". It matches the Rfam family "Bacterial small subunit ribosomal RNA", at positions 28 to 524 of the family's 1533-position model. The record is from RNAcentral.